MicroRNA precursor from Bos grunniens (domestic yak), 82 nucleotides. Lineage: Eukaryota; Metazoa; Chordata; Mammalia; Artiodactyla; Bovidae. The record is from Ensembl.
AAUUGAGAUGGCCAAAAAUUUCGUUCAGGUUUUCUUGCAUGGUAGUGUCAAAAACGCAAAUGAACUUUUUGGCCAACCCAAU